UACAGAGGCCCCGAGCGUUACCCGGAAUUACUGGGCGUAAAGAGUGCGUAGGUGGUCGUGUUAGUCGUCUGUCAAAGCCCCCGGCUCAACCGGGGACACGCGGGCGAAACGGCACGACUUGAGGGAGUGAGAGGUGAAUGGAACUCAUGGUGUAGGGGUGAAAUCCGUUGAUAUCAUGGGGAACACCGAAAGCGAAGGCAAUUCACUGGCACUUUCCUGACACUCAAGCACGAAAGCGUGGGUAGCGAACGGG
Molecule: ribosomal RNA, 253 nt
Filed under: uncultured bacterium
Lineage: Bacteria
Description: partial 16S ribosomal RNA
Rfam family: Bacterial small subunit ribosomal RNA
Source: RNAcentral